This 474-nucleotide ribosomal RNA is filed under the name uncultured bacterium. RNAcentral describes it as "bacterial SSU rRNA". It matches the Rfam family "Bacterial small subunit ribosomal RNA", at positions 355 to 825 of the family's 1533-position model. The record is from RNAcentral.
UGGGGAAUAUUGCGCAAUGGACGAAAGUCUGACGCAGCGACGCCGCGUGUGGGAGGAAGCUCUUCGGGGUGUAAACCACUGUCAGGAGGGAAGAACGGCGCCGGUUCGAACAGUUCCGGCGAUUGACGGUACCUCCAAAGGAAGCGCCGGCUAACUCCGUGCCAGCAGCCGCGGUAAGACGGAGGGCGCAAGCGUUGUUCGGAAUUACUGGGCGUAAAGAGCUCGUAGGCGGUUUCGUAAGUCGGAUGUGAAAACUCAGGGCUCAACCCGGAGACGCCAUCUGAUACUGCGAUGACUAGAGUCCGGUAGAGGAGCAUGGAAUUCCUGGUGUAGUGGUGGAAUGCGCAGAUAUCAGGAGGAACACCAACGGCGAAGACAGUGCUCUGGGCCGGAACUGACGCUGAGGAGCGAAAGCAUGGGGAGCAAACAGGAUUAGAUACCCCCGUAGUCCCUGAGCGGGCUGGCAAGGCGCAU